This is a long non-coding RNA of Myxocyprinus asiaticus (Chinese sucker), 890 nucleotides long. RefSeq lists it as uncharacterized. NCBI's taxonomy places the organism in Eukaryota, Metazoa, Chordata, Actinopteri, Cypriniformes, Catostomidae. The record is from RefSeq and is a predicted model, not a curated record. The transcript has 3 exons.
UGCCAACACAAAACGUGUACAGCAGACUGAACUCAUUUCACAGUGUAAAAUAAUGCAGAUAUAGUUCAAUCUUCUCUAUGUGAUGCCUUUCAAAGGGUGAAGGCAUGUGUGGAGCAGAUGUCAUGAACUGACAGUCGGUGGUGACGGGACUGGCUCUGGAGUUGCUGGCUGUGGCUGGAAACUAUAGUCUUCACCAUUCAGACUUUUCCGACAGACAGGACAGGUGUCGUGCUGUUAACACAAAACAUUGCAAAGUGAGGACAAAAAGUUUAAGACCGUAAUAAGGAAUUUUUCUACCAUCAGAGCAUUUCAAGCUUGAAGUAUAACCUUCAAAUUUGUACUAGUCUCCGUCAGCAGAAGGCAGUAAAUGCAACUCCAGCUCUACAGGCAACGCGCAGCUGUACAGACGUCAAGAAACCACAGCUCAAUAUGAGGAUUUGUUCUUGUGUUCAAAUAGUUGGUAUGCAACUCAGAAUGCAGAGGUCUAAAGAUAUAGGGUUUUUUUUUUUUUCUAAGUUUCAUUUACAUUUAACUUGACACAGUGUCUAAAAAGCACUGUUUAUGACGUGAUAUCCAAAGUGAGAUGCUUCAAAGGGUCUGUAUGACGCAUGUACAUUGACACGUCCUUAGAAAAGUCCCUAUAAUAAGUCUAUCUUGGACAGAUUGACAAAUUCAAUUUUAAAAUGGAUUGCGGUGGACUGUAGGCCAAUGAUAGGCUAGUUCAAUGAUAUGGAAAUAAACAAUAUAUUGCAUUCUAAAGCAACUUUUUCUGUUGUUUAAUUAAUGCUUAUCUGUAAUGUAGCUAAUGUUUAGUUUAAUUCUUUAUUAUAUUUAUACUAUAUUACAUUUAUAAUAAUAUUUAUUUAUCAUUAUAUACUUAAUAAUUUUAU